UACGGAGGGUGCAAGCGUUAUCCGGAUUUACUGGGUUUAAAGGGUGCGUAGGCGGGUCUUUAAGUCAGUGGUGAAAUCCUCCUGCUCAACGGGAGAACUGCCAUUGAUACUAUUGAUCUUGAAUUCAGUUGAGGUGGGCGGAAUGUGUCGUGUAGCGGUGAAAUGCUUAGAUAUGACACAGAACACCGAUUGCGAAGGCAGCUCGCUAAACUGAUAUUGACGCUGAGGCACGAAAGCGUGGGGAUCAAACAGG
This 253-nucleotide ribosomal RNA is filed under the name uncultured bacterium. Its description in RNAcentral is "partial 16S ribosomal RNA". It matches the Rfam family "Bacterial small subunit ribosomal RNA", at positions 524 to 776 of the family's 1533-position model. The record is from RNAcentral.